This is a long non-coding RNA of Podarcis raffonei (Aeolian wall lizard), 607 nucleotides long. RefSeq lists it as uncharacterized. NCBI's taxonomy places the organism in Eukaryota, Metazoa, Chordata, Lepidosauria, Squamata, Lacertidae. The transcript is spliced from 5 exons. The record is from RefSeq and is a predicted model, not a curated record.
UACCAAGCAACUAUGUCGCUUCAGAGUUUUAUUGUCCUUUCAUCCACUGGGCGACUGCAUGGGUCACAGCUGCUGCUCUUAGGAAGGAGGAAAAGGGGAGCUUUAGGGAAGAAAGCCACACAUAUGAACAGCUCCAGAAGGACGGCAACGUGAUUGUAAAAUGUGUUAAUUCAAUGCAGGAAUUUUUCCUCUUGGACCCUGUCCUUUCUCUUGGGACGUCAGACUUGGCUGCUUGGAUUGACCCUGAGCUGUGUUUCCUGACCUUUGGACUUUGGAUCUGAACCUUGCUUGUGUGGCUUAACCCCUGGACUUUGAGCAUGACAUACUGACUUGCUGCCAGGAAAUUUCACAUGGAACGUCUUGGCCUACCUCUGAAAAUAUCUUAGGAUAAUUACUCAAGGGGCCUUUGAAAAGUUGUAGUGCUACAUGUGUUUACAUGGGAACUCGACAUCAGAAAGCUUGGCAAAGCAAAGCAGAAGAGGAAUAUGAUGAGGAACCGGAGAUUAACCAACCAUUUGUGUUAUUUGGCAUCAAAGAGAAGACACCACUGAGCAUGAGCACCGCAAUCAUCAAACAGUAGCAAGAAACAUCAGUAUGUGCAAGUGAA